GUGGGGAAUCUUAGACAAUGGGUGCAAGCCUGAUCUAGCCAUGCCGCGUGAGUGAUGAAGGCCCUAGGGUUGUAAAGCUCUUUCAGCUGGGAAGAUAAUGACGGUACCAGCAGAAGAAGCCCCGGCUAACUCCGUGCCAGCAGCCGCGGUAAUACGGAGGGGGCUAGCGUUGUUCGGAAUUACUGGGCGUAAAGCGCGCGUAGGCGGACUGAAAAGUUGGGGGUGAAAUCCCGGGGCUCAACCUCGGAACUGCCUUCAAAACUAUCAGUCUGGAGUUCGAGAGAGGUGAGUGGAAUUCCGAGUGUAGAGGUGAAAUUCGUAGAUAUUCGGAGGAACACCAGUGGCGAAGGCGGCUCACUGGCUCGAUACUGACGCUGAGGUGCGAAAGCGUGGGGAGCAAACAGGAUUAGAUACCCCUGUAGUCC
Molecule: ribosomal RNA, 425 nt
Filed under: uncultured bacterium
Lineage: Bacteria
Description: partial 16S ribosomal RNA
Rfam family: Bacterial small subunit ribosomal RNA
Source: RNAcentral